CGUGUAGGCGGUCAGGUAAGUGAAAUGUGAAAUGCCCCGGCUCACCCGGGGACCGGCAUCCCAAACUGCCUGGCUUGAGUAUGGGAGAGGAUGGAGGAAUUCCUGGUGUAGCGGUGAAAUGCGUAGAUAUCAGGAGGAACACCGGUGGCGAAGGCGUCCAUCUGGCCCAAUACUGACGCUGAGGCGCGAAAGCUAGGGGAGCAAACG
Molecule: ribosomal RNA, 207 nt
Filed under: uncultured Latescibacterota bacterium
Lineage: Bacteria; Pseudomonadati; Candidatus Latescibacterota
Description: uncultured Latescibacteria bacterium partial 16S ribosomal RNA
Rfam family: Bacterial small subunit ribosomal RNA
Source: RNAcentral